Non-coding RNA from Chiloscyllium plagiosum (whitespotted bambooshark), 1570 nucleotides. NCBI's taxonomy places the organism in Eukaryota, Metazoa, Chordata, Chondrichthyes, Orectolobiformes, Hemiscylliidae. The record is from RefSeq and is a predicted model, not a curated record.
GCUAAAAGCUGGGGUUCUCUUCCUGCUGCUAGACUUGCAUUGCUAUUUGUCUAGGCAGGCCAGCUGUCUCCAUGUUUGCGAAACGGGCUGCAUGAAAGCAACCUAAUUAUUUCUGGGGAUGUAACAAGCCCUGUACAUUCAUAAGUGUGGCUGUACCUAGAUGUGAUUGAUGUGCAGCAGCAGACUAAUGAACAGCUCAGGAAAAGGAUAUAUUAGAAUGUACAUUGAAAAGAAAGAAGUAAUGACAUCAUUAAGGAUCACAUCAGCAAAAGGUAGACUAAAAUAAGAAAGGAAAGUGAAAAGUUAAGGACAGAAUUAGCAGAAGGUGAUAAUGAAAAACUUCUAUUUUAUACUGAGGAAGACUUGCAGCUACAAAUAGACUAGAUCUCUCUCACCUGCAGAGUUUGAUUUGAUCUUGAGCAUCAGGAAGAGAAAUAUUGGAUUAUAUUGUAAACCUAGGUUAAGUUUCAAGGAAGAACUUACUUAAACCAGGAUUUUAUCAUUCAACCAUCAAUCAAAAUUGAUAAUAUGGGACUGGAGGUUUCACUUACCUAGACUCCACAAUCACCAACAAUCUGGCACUCAAUGCUGAAAUGAAGGCAUGGAUUGCAAAGGCUACAGCUUUUACAUCCAUGCUGAGUAAGAGGGUGUGAAACAACCACAACAUGACUGAGAACACCAAAACCAUAAGCCUACCAAGUCUGUUUCCUCAAUGAGUGUCUCUACAACAGGCAACAUAUGCAGGAAAAAAUGCAGAUUAUUUGGAAGUCAUUGGAAGAGGCAAAAAUAAAUGAAAAGCUCAGCAUGUGGAAAGAGGGUCCAGAGAAAAGCUAGACCUGUGAAUCCUACAUCUUCUCAGCUUCUGAAGUCUUCCUCUGCAACAAGUAUGAGAGAUUGCCCAAAAGAUCUAGGCUACUGAGCCACACUUAGUAAUGCUUAACACGGAGUUGACUACCAUGACACAAAUCAUUGCCUAAUGAGACAAAAGCCUACCAUUGUCUUCUUUGAAAGAGUAUCGUGGAGUCCUUUAUAUCUAUCAGAGUCUGUGGCAAGACUUCAGUUUAAUGUCUCAUCCAAACGGCAGCACCUCCAACAGUAUAGUAGUCCCUCAAUACUGCAUUGGAGAGUAAACCCUAGUUAAGGGGCACAUAUCCACCAACAUUCUGAAGUAGAGGCAAGAUUCCUAUUAAUAAAGCUAUGAUUGACACACAAUGCUAGAGUUAUCAUUGCAUAGAAACAACAGCAAGUCUAUAGUUGAUUAGAUAAACUGCUCAAUAAUUAAAUAAAUUGCUGUUUUUAGACAUUACCUGGAAAACAUUUUCUUUGCAAAUAAACAACAUGGAACAUGUGGACUGGUGGAAAAUUGGCCAAAAUCCAAACUGGGCGGAGAAUUUACCAAACCUGGAAAACAAUGGCAUGGGUAUAUGAGAGAUGCUAUGGGAAGGAAUAAUUAACCCCAUGAAAACACUAUUUAUCACUGUUCUCACAUAAGUCUGAGCACCUAAAAAAGAACUAGGCCACAACAAUAAUUGUUGCAUUUAUUGACAAAAUAAAAAACUUUUUUUUUGCA